Aegilops tauschii subsp. strangulata is the source of this 1406-nucleotide non-coding RNA. The record is from RefSeq and is a predicted model, not a curated record. Lineage: Eukaryota; Viridiplantae; Streptophyta; Magnoliopsida; Poales; Poaceae.
UCCUUUCUUUCUUUCCCACCGAACCGCUCGAACCCCUCUCUCUUCCUCUCCCUACGCGGCCACUCUGCUCUCGCACCCAACCCUAGCUCCCGACGAUGCGCCGCCGCCCACCAUCUUCCCCCACCGUCUGCCUGCUUUGCCCCACCGCCCCCACCUUCUCCCCCUCGGCGCAGCACAUCUGAAACGAAUGAGCGCAGCACCUCCUCUCCCGGAUUCCGUCGCAUCCCGUGGUCGCCGCCCUCGUCUCCCUCGGCGCGGCGCUUCCCCACCGACGACCUCGAUGCCCAUCCCCCCACCGGCGCCGCCCCCACCAACCUUCUCUCUCUCUCUCUUCCCUUGGCCGGCGCACGCUUGUGGAGGCAGACCCGCGACGCGCCACCUCCGCCCCGUCGUCGUCGGCGGCUGCUCGUCAACGGCCGUGGUCCAGAAGCACAGCUUCGCCUGGCCGCGACGGAUCUGCGCAAGGGCCGCGCUGGGCGAGGAGCCCCCAUGCUCGGCCGCCACUUGGUUCGCUCCUCUUCUUUCGGCCACCGGGAGAGGACCUCGUGACGGCGAUGCUACCGGAUCCGCGACGGAGGUGCUCGAGGUCGCGCGCAGCGACAGGAGGCCGAAAUGUUUUGUUGUGGAGACCACGGAUGGGACUAUCGCAGUUGCUUCUGUGUUUCGCGGGCAUCAGGAAGGGAUCACAAGUUCUUGUCGAAAGCGGUAGAAGAGGGAGUUAACUGUGGCCAUGGAGGCCUGUUUGGCUCCGACGCCAUGGAUGCCGCUGCGCUCUCUCAUCGUCCUCCUCCCUGACCCCUAGGCACAUCGGGCCGCUGUGCUUCUUCUAGUUUCACAUUGUUACAAAUCCUUCAUGGUGCUAUUGAAUACUCCUGCUGCCACACAAGACGACCAAGGUCCGCUCUGCUCUGCUGCUAUCCCUCGCUCUAGCUCCAUUCGUUGCUGCACAAGAAAAACAGAGACAAAUGAAAACUAAUUAUCUAAGAUGAGUCCGUCGAUGAAGCGGCAGCGUCUCCUCUAGAGGGUGACGGCGGCGGCGGCGCCUGUGUGCGGCUUCGACUACAACCUCCUCUCCGGGCGACCCUAGAAGGCAUAUCACCGUUCUGUUAGCCCAGUCCUGACAGUAGCAGGCGCCUAGUUUAUGAUCGCUAUCGGAAGAGCUCCAUGCUGAAGAACAUAGCUCGUAACUAUCUUGUUAGUACACAUGUGGAGCUUGUAACCGUGAUUGCCAUACUUUUAGAGCUUGUAGCUACUUAUUACACUUGUAGAGCUUCUGGUAGAGCAUGUAUAUGUUGGAGCUUAUUACGUGUAGAGCUUGUAGAUCUUGUAAAGUAUUGUAUAUGUUAUUACCUGUUAUUUGUACAACAGGAGCUCUGUACUGAAUCUGGAGUAUUACGUUUGUUUUU